UAGGGAAUUUUUCACAAUGGGCGAAAGCCUGAUGGAGCGAUGCCGCGUGAAUGAUGAAGGUCUUUUGAUUGUAAAAUUCUUUUAUAAGGGACGAAUGUUAAAGGUAGGAAAUGAUCUUUAAUUGACUGUACCUUUUUGAAUAAGCACCGGCAAACUAUGUGCCAGCAGCCGCGGUAAUACAUAGGGUGCGAGCGUUAUCCGGAUUUACUGGGCGUAAAGCGAGCGCAGGCGGAUUUACAAGUCUGGUGUUAAAUGCUAUUGCUUAACGAUAGUAUGCAUUGGAAACUGUAAAUCUAGAGUGUAAUAGAGAGUUCUAGAACUCCAUGUGGAGCGGUGGAAUGCGCAGAUAUAUGGAAGAAUACCAGUGGCGAAGGCGAGAACUUAGGUUACUACUGACGCUUAGGCUCGAAAGUGUGGGGAGCAAAUAGG
This 429-nucleotide ribosomal RNA is filed under the name uncultured bacterium. RNAcentral describes it as "bacterial SSU rRNA". It matches the Rfam family "Bacterial small subunit ribosomal RNA", at positions 355 to 776 of the family's 1533-position model. The record is from RNAcentral.